Long non-coding RNA from Cygnus olor (mute swan), 8062 nucleotides. RefSeq lists it as uncharacterized. The transcript has 5 exons. The record is from RefSeq and is a predicted model, not a curated record. NCBI's taxonomy places the organism in Eukaryota, Metazoa, Chordata, Aves, Anseriformes, Anatidae.
CGCCAAUGGGCGGUGGAGGCCGCGAGCACCGCCCAUUGGUCGAGCCGCCUGUCGCUCCGCUGGGGUGCGGGUAUAAAUAGGGCGGUCUCGCGAGGACUCCCUCAGUUGCGGUGGGGGUCGGGGCUGUGCAGUGCGUCAGUGGGGUUGGGCUGCGAGGCACAUUUCCUGACUCAUUCAGAAGCAUGAAGGCAUUGUUGUUCCUGCAUUUCACACCACUAGUGCUCUGGCUUUCCUUGGCAGAAAGGAGGAAAGAUGCAAAAAAGGCAAAGAGGAGCACCUACCCCAAUGAAACUGUAUUUCUGCUGGGCCUUUCCUGCACUCCCAUACCAACAAUAAAAAUAAAGAGGGGCACAGAUACACCCGGUGUGUACUGGGGAAGGAUUGGCAAUGAUUGCCCAUGAGCUGCUCCUCUGUAUGACCAGCACAGACCUGUGCCUCACCCAGAAGUCAGGCAUGACAGUACCCUGUGGAAACCUCAGGACUCCUUUUCUGUAGGUGAUUACAACUUAACCCCAGGUUACAGAUUUAUGGCAGAUGUGUCCCAGCGUGUUCAAAAGUCAGCCCUCCGGAUGACUCAUCUCGCAAUGAACCUCUCUAUGGGUAAGGAAACCUUUAAACUGUCAAAGGCCACGUUUUGUCCCUGACUGCCAGAGCUGAAGGGAGGAAAGUGCAAGGCCAAGGUGGAGAGCAUCAUGCUGGGCACAGGUGAGGGGCUUGGUGGCAAGCAGUGGCUUUCUUCCUUUGCUCUCCCACGGCACGGGCUGUGUCACAGGCCUUGGCCCUGCCCCUUCCCUGUGCAUUUAGGAGAGGCUGCCAGCUGCGGGAUCAGCCCAGGGCUGGCCUUGCUUCCUGGAGAGCAUGGGACUGGGAUGGUAAGGGGACAACGUCCCGCCUUCUCCUACUCAGAGCAUGUCUGCAGCCUGGCCCGCAGCCUUACCCUUGUGCUCUUCCUGUUCCACCAAAACCUGUUUUUGUUUUUAAAUCGGAGUAAUACUUCUAUCUGCUGCUAAUUACAGCCCAACAAUACUAACUCAGUGUGCAAACAAGGCCAUCAUCCAAGUAUUGUUUUACAUAACCAGAGCGCUGGAGUUGUUAGCAUUUGCAUAAUGUUCAAUUAUUUAGUCAGAACAUAAAAUUUGUCUCCUUCUCAAAAACAUUUUUAUGAAAUGUCUCAAUAAUUAAACACCACUAUGUUUAUUAACAGCAGGGGAAGCUCAUAAAGCGUAUUAGUCACAAAGAGACAAGUAACUACAUCUAGCUACAGUAAUCAAAAUACGCCACUCGAAGGUAGGUCGCCAAGCAUGGCAAGCCCAGCAGAAACUCCUACAGGCAGCUGAGAGGAACACAAAAGCACAGCAGAUCAGGCGCUGUACCUCAGAGAGAUGGGGGAGCCUGAAUUUCACGGCUUAAGUCACUCAUUAAUCAACACGCAGCAUUUUGAAAAGACUCAGUUGAUGCUAUUGGGUCAGCUGACGCAAGCCCUGUGUCUGUGGCAGGUAACAUUUGGGGACACCUGAAGGCCUGUGCUCUGGGGAAGGGCUCUGCGAGCCCCUGCUCCCACAGGCUGCCCGUGGGGCCUGGGCACUGUGGUUACUCCUCGUGAGGAUGAGGCCUGUGGGGCCUGGGUUUUGAGGUGACUCCUCGUGAGGUUCAGAGGCUGGGAGGAAGUUACUGAAUGUGUUUGGGAUGUCCCCGGCUCCAGGCAAGGCUCGGGGGUGUUCUUCAGUGAGUGAAACUCAGACGCUGCAACAGAAGAGAGCUGUGCUGGUUGUCAGGCCACGUACUCUAGUCUGAUGAAAACAGCUCCUGUGCCCAAGCUCCGAGUUGUCCCAAGCUGCUCAAAGGAAAGGCAAAAUCUGGGACCAGAAAUUGUUUCCUUUUAAAGGUGCAAUCACCCACUAAAUUAAGAGGAAGAAUCUUGUAUGUCCUGGGAGCAAGCAUUCUUCUCUAAUAUCGAGUGUUUUCGUAAGUGGAACUUUUUAGCUUACAUUUAUGGGAAGCAUAAAAUUCAAAAGUUAUUUUAUUUAGGCAAGAUGGAGAUUUAUAUCCCUUUUAAAUAUGAGUUUAUUCAGUAGUAUUUCAAUAACGUUACAUAAGAAAUCAAGCUCGUGUCCUUCUGCCUUCUCCAAAACUCAUCUGUUACUUUCUAAUGAGGUCUCCAAAUUACUCAAGACAGCUUCUGAGACAGGCAUACAGUUGAGAGACUCCCUCUUUGUCCAUCAAUCUGUAUAAAAGCAGCCAAGGCAACCACCUCGUCUCCUCCCAUAUCCUUGGCGCGAUGCCUAAGGCUCAGUCUGAGCACCGCUGAGCGCGGUGCCCGCACCGUGCUCAGCAGGAGCUGGCCCGCGGACUCCCAUAGGUAGAGCUGAGGAGCUGUUUGUGCAACGGGGAAAAAAAAACAAAUGGGAAAUCCUUCACAAGUUUAUAUUUUCAGAUAACGACCCUCUGCCUUCUCCACAUGACAGCGUAAGCCCGCAUAAGUGAAUUCUGCUGGGGGUUGCUGCCAUUCCCCUCAGCCCAGGCAAAGCUCUGCUUUCGCUGCUGCUGUAGUGAAGUAGGUCAAAGUAAAAUCUGCCCACCCGCAUCUCCUGCCCGCGAUCACAAGGUAGGAUAAAUCAUAGCCUCGCAUUAAUCGAGGCAUCUAAAGGGAAAAUGCGGCGUGAAAAGGCAAUUCAAAAGCUCGGUGUCUCUCUGGAGGGCAGCUGACAGCGCGAUCCGCCAUCAGAAGUGACUUACGGCCCGCUGCCCCAGGCUGCCGGUGCCCUGCUCGCUGCUGCGGGAAGGAGCUUGGCGGCUGGAUCUGAUGUUAAAGAAAGGCAGCCAGGCCUCAGCAGCAGGCUGCGUGCUGCUGGGGGGCAAGUGGAAAAUCACAAGAGCAAGCAGCAAAGAGCAGCCCCGUCAGGUCGGACAUGCUGCGUCCUCUGGUUUGGCACUGCUGCCCACGCAGCGGUAGAGGGCUGCACCGCAGCUCCUCUUGCUCAGGAGUCCUUUUGUUGUGGUUCGGUGUAAGGACAUGACCACACAAAAGGCUUCAUUAGGCAAAAAGCAAUCGCUUUUGCAUCACUCGCCUCCGGUAGAUGCAAAGGAGUUAAAAGAAGGCAAGCCUUGCUUAAAGGAGUGGCCAUGCUGGGAGGACGUGUGUUUUGUCUGGACAGGCUCAGGGCCUUAUUCCCCUGCUUUGUCGGCAGGCAGCGUGCCCGCCAAAAUCAUCUCCUGUGCUGAGCGUGGAGAGGACGAGCCAGCAGCUUAUUAAGGCUUCUCUGUUAUUUCUUUAGUGAGGGUGGCUUAAUUUUCCUGAACUGCUGCUAAAUGAAUUCUCCUCUUGUCAUAACUUUGGGGUGUUUGCCUCUGAUCUUUCUAGACUGUUCUCAUUGGACCCUGGGUGUAGGCAAUGGUUUGGAGGGGUUACGGAUAGUCACAUUAAAUUUAGAGGGGUAAAAAAAAAAAAAAAAAAAAAAAAAAAAGUGAAGAUGGGAUUUUGGGGGGAAACACUAUUACCAGAGCAUGACUUGAGAGAAUCUUGGCUCUCCAGUUCAAACUCCCAGUUGAACUGCUCAGGUUGGAAGGGCCCUUUAAGGACCAUCUGGUAAAUCACCAGUUCAUAACCCAGUGCUGAAGUCUUUGUGGCACCUUGAGCCGUCACUUGAGCGAAGAGCCCCGUGCGUUGGAUCUGAGAGACAUGUACACCCCGCUGCCUCUCCUCAGGGCGGUCUGGUACCGGCUGCUGGUUCGGGAGGUGGCACCGGCAGCUCUGCCUCAGGAGGGCCUUGCCAGUCUCCUCCUCUCCAUCCCUGGUGGAACCAUGCUCUUCCACAGCCUGGCCACAGAGGAGCACGGGUGGCCUGGUGGCUUUGUCAUCCAGGAGCUGCCGGCAUGGGUGAGGAGGGAGAGCGUGGCAGCCAUGUGCUGUUGGCCAUCGCGGGAACCAUUGCUGCAGCACGUCGUUUUCCAGUCAGCAGUGAACAGACACUUCCCUCUCUUCUCUCUUUUUCCCCAGUGCUUUUCCUUUUAUUAGCCUGUUUCUCAGGCAGGGUUUACUUACAAAGGCAGGUUAGGAAAUUACACUUCAAUUCUAGACUUCAGAAAUCAUGGGGGAAAAAUGGGGACUCCUUGCUACAGGGAAUUAGGAGGCCCCCAGGUACCACUGUACCUGGCUCCGUGUCCUUGAAGACAGCAGAAUAGGCUUCAGUGGGACUGUGAGCCUGCUCCGCGUACCAUUUCAUAUGCAAAUCAGUUAAUAAACAAAGCCUUGCAAGCUAACAAAAAGAAAUCAACAACAGACUGCAAAGGUACAUGAGGUGGAAGGAAGCAAAAUGGUUCUCCAUCGCUUCGCUUCAGAAACUUUUGUGCAGUCUGAGCUGUGUUCGGAGCAGCUCCUGAGAGAGAUCUGGGAUCCUGGAGAGGGAGGGAGGGAGGUCAGCAUUUCCUGAACGACCUCCAUUUAAGCUGCAUUAGGUGAGCUAGAAGGGUUUCUUCUGGGAACAGAGCCAACGGAGAGAAGAGAAUUAGGACCUGGGGGUGAAGCAAAGGCACCCACAAGAAGGAAGAUCUGAAUGGACCUUGGGAAAACGCGUUACACCAGCAUAAAGCUUUGAAGAGUACCACGAGGCAGAGAACUACUUGGGAGUAAUAAUCCAUAAAAACCUCCUAUUGGUAUUUGAGACCAGACAGCAGAGGAUCGCGUGCUCUUCAAGCUCAACACCUCCCAUUGAUUACUGGGUGGCUUGGUGAACCUCGGGAAGAAGCGAGCUAAGGUAAAAUUCACCACAGGGCAGGGGGACAGCCCCAGAGCUGUGCCUGCUCCCAGCGGAGAUGCCUUCUCCUGCAAAAGUCAGUCCUGCGUGGUGAGGCCGUGCCGGGUCACCCAGGUUAUGCCUUGCCCUGGGGCUUAAUGAGUUGUGCAGCGCGGCCCCGUGCUCGCGAAUCCCUCUUUUUUCCUUUGACUCUGUAACAGUACAAAAGUGAUCUGCUAGCGGCAAACACGGAGUCCUGUAAUUAAACCUUUGUUGCCCACAGCUGAGUGCUCAUCACGUAUACAAAGCAAACAUUUUGGCAUGUCUAUUGCACUCCUCUAAACUAAAAGGGGAUUAAUGGCGUUGCAAAAUAACAGCGAGCUGCUUGCUACGCUGCUGCUGGAUAUUUUCACUGACAACAAGAUUUUAUAUUCCUCUUCAUCUUUAAAAAAAUGCAAUACAUUUAGUAAACGCUUUUACUGUCAAAAGCAACACAGCACAUAACACCAUAUCAAAGUAAAGGCUGGAGGGCUAUUUUGGCCUUAAACAUUUAUUAUGCUUUGCUGUACAUUAAAAAUCAUUUAGUCAUAUAUUUUUUUACUUAAAAUUAUUAAACAUGAGGAGGUAGCUAAUUAUGAUAAUCGCACUCGUAAACUAAGUCACCGAAUGUACAGGUUUUGCACUGAAACAUGCACGGCAUGCAACUGCAUUUGCAUUGCACGUGGCGCUUCACCACUGGGGACAACAACUGAUUGCCAAAUGUCACCUUACUCCUCAAACAGAAGACCAAAGACUUAUCACAAAUCAGUUCUGGGAGAGGAAACCAUUCUGUUUUUCAAGUGCGUUUUGUUGUUGUUCUUAGACUGUAAUUCAAACUGCGCUCGUUUAUGUGCAUGAGUCAUGAACAAAGGGUGAAUUUUUAGAUUUGAUGCCAGUGUUAGAUGUUCUAUACCAACAAUAUAUAUUGCAGCUGCCUGAGCAAAAUGGAUCAGCUUGAGUCAGUCGUAUUGCUUCUCAGCUGGAAACGUGCAAUGACGUCCUUAGGAAAGCUGAUCAGAUCUGAAAGGCUUUUUCCGGUGGUAUGAAGUGUGAACUAUAAAUCACCGUUCAUACAGAGAAGAAAAAUGUAUUUGUAUUUGCAGCUUUCCAUUGCCACAGAUGAGGCAUUUGUCCAAAGCGAAAUACACGGGUUCAGAAACUGUUUUCUGCCUACCUGUUGACCACGCAGCUGUGUCAGGACUUACUCACACGUCCCUUUGACUUAGAAUGAAGAAACGAGGGCGCAGAGCGAUGCUGUGAGAAGAUGAAAUUUCCCCUGGUUGGCCAGGUCAAAGCUCUGGAGGGCCAAGGGUCUGCUCUUUCACAAAGGCCAGUGCCGAUGGCUGCGGUAGGAGACCGUGCAGAAACCAAGUCCACCAGCCAGCGCCUCCCAGCGCCUUCGGCAACCUCCCAGGCCAAGGCCGCAUUGUUCGUGUUGAGUGGCACUUGACAGGUUUUGACUCCACAGAUUUGUUAGCUGCUUUCUGAAGUCACCCCUGGUGUCUGCAGCCUCCCACUCAGAUCCAGAACACCCCAAGAGGUGUCUGAGACCUGUCUGAGAUGGGGGGCACCUGGGUGUUGCUUUCCUUGAGAUCGCACAGGCCAUGCCAGCAGACCUCCACCUUUCUGCUCUGUUAUUCCUGAGACUGUUCCAACAGGAGACGGUCCGAGGGGUGUCCAGGCUUCCCCACACAGCUGCUGCACAGCUCACACUCCAGAAAUAGUCACAAUUCAUCAGGUUGCGUAAUUUUAACCAGCAAGAGGACUGCAAGGAGAUGGACCGUACCUUUACAUCUCCUGAAAACACGGUAUUCAUUGCAUGGGAUGUGGGUUGGGACUUGGCAAUAACUGGAGAGCACAAAUUGGGUCCUUUUUUUAUAUAUUAUAGUCCUUUAAUACAGAAACCGUUUGCUCAAGAUUGCUACAGAUAGUAACAAUGUAUCUUAAAAUAACACUUUAUGCUAAUGAAUUAUUUAUUACAGAGGGAGAGGGAGUUAAAAUGCUGCUUAUGGUAUCUGAAAAAAUGUGCCUAUUUCUACUGUAGAUCCUAGAGGAUGACCUGGAUACAAAAACAAAGCAAAAAAAAAAACCUUGAGAUUAAGGACUGUGCACCCAUUUUCAUGGUGGGGGCAACACAAAAAGCGUUUGCACAACCAGCCCUUGGACAGCAUAGCCCAAGGCUGCUGUCGUGUAAGCAAGUCACUAUUUCUGUUGAGGCUGUGUUAACAGAGAGCUGUCUCGCCACUUCCAAUUUCAGCGGGAAUGCCCGCACUGCCCUUUGUGGCCUGUGUAAAAGAGAAAGCCCUGGACCAGUCGGCAGGAACCAACUCAGAGCCAGUACCACUGACGGCUGGCUGGUGAGCUGGGUGCAUCUGUGCAAAAAGCUGCCUUAGGCAUUCAGCAACCACGCGGGCUUACUGACUUUAUCCAAAGGCUUUGAUAAAUAACACAAAACUUGGUUUUCAUCCUCCUGUUUUCUGUGAUGAAAGAUAUCUGUCCAAAAACUGCUGUCAGUGUCUCGGAUAUUCACAUGUUCCAAUGCCCUGUUUAUUUGUUAUGAAAUGAAAUAAUUGUUGCUAAGCGAGGCUGGGUUUUACUCCCCACCUCCUCAGAGAAAACAAAGCUUCAAAACUGCAGAUGUGGUUCUUGGGAAAUCAUAGGUUUCCUAAGGUCUCCCUGCAUAAUUUUCUGAAAAGAAUGCAAAUGCAACAACAACAACAAAUCCAAAAUCACAAACACAUCCAUAAAUAAACCUAGGGAGUGCAGUGUUAAGGCAACACUUCAUGCGUACACCCAUACACAAAGAGAAAUGUUUGCCUUAGCAGUGGUGCAUUCAGUUCCCAAUGUUGUGGAAUGGGUUUUGCUGUUAGCUUCUUUAAUUGCAAUUACAUAGCUCAUGGGGAAGUGUUACAACAUAUUCAGAGUGAUUUUGGUCAAUCAGCAGCAAGUAUUUCUCUCGUCAAACUUGUUAAGCAGAUGAAGGUGAAUUGUGUACAAGACUUCAUGAGCUGGAGUCCCAAACUGGUGCUGGAAACUCAAGCUGAACAGUGUGAGAAUAUUAUAUAAAUGUAGUAAAGUGAAGAGAUGCUAUUAUUAUUUUUUAAUGAGAAUAAUUAUGAGUCGGUAGGGGGUGACAUUUGAAGCUGACACUGCAACGGAGUUCACAGUUUUUUCCAACAUUUCAGUUUGGGCUGUAGCUCAAGGCUUUCCAGUUCUUUUAACUAAACAUUCAAAUUGCCCAUUGCCACUAAUGCUAUGCUCCUAAUUGAGAAUGAUGAUUUCACAUAAAG